Small nuclear RNA from Pteronotus mesoamericanus, 165 nucleotides. RefSeq annotates it as U1 spliceosomal RNA. Lineage: Eukaryota; Metazoa; Chordata; Mammalia; Chiroptera; Mormoopidae. The transcript has a single exon. The record is from RefSeq and is a predicted model, not a curated record.
AUACUUACCUGGCAGGGGAGAUACAAUGAUCAUGAAGGUGGUUUUCCUGGGGGCGAGGCUUAUCCAUUGCGUUCCAGAUGUGCUGACCCCUGGGAUUUGCCCAAAUGUGGGAAACUUGACUGCAGAAUUUGUGGUAGUGGCGGACUGAGUUUAUGUUCUUCCCUA